This 63-nucleotide transfer RNA is filed under the name Dorcus ursulus. RNAcentral's name for it is "tRNA-Tyr". Lineage: Eukaryota; Metazoa; Arthropoda; Insecta; Coleoptera; Lucanidae. The record is from RNAcentral.
GGUGAAAUGGCUGAGGUAUAAGCGAUAGGCUGUAAACUUAUUCACGAAUUAAUUUCUUUUACC